RNAcentral lists this ribosomal RNA (291 nucleotides) under uncultured bacterium. Its description in RNAcentral is "partial 16S ribosomal RNA". It matches the Rfam family "Archaeal small subunit ribosomal RNA", at positions 455 to 746 of the family's 1478-position model. The record is from RNAcentral.
GUGCCAGCGCCGCGGUAAUACCGGCAGCCCGAGUGAUGGCCGCUCUUAUUGGGCCUAAAGCGUCCGUAGCUGGCUGCGCAAGUCCGUCGGGAAAUCCACUCGCCCAGCGAGUGGGCGUCCGACGGAAACUGCACAGCUUGGGACCGGAAGGCUCGAAGGGUACGUUCGGGGUAGGAGUGAAAGCCCAUAAUCCCGCACGGACCACCGAUGGCGAAAGCACUUCGAGAAAACGGAUCCGACAGUGAGGGACGAAAGCCAGGGGCGCCAACCGGAUGAGAGACCCCUGUAGUC